Molecule: unclassified non-coding RNA, 696 nt
Filed under: Hevea brasiliensis (rubber tree)
Lineage: Eukaryota; Viridiplantae; Streptophyta; Magnoliopsida; Malpighiales; Euphorbiaceae
Source: RNAcentral
CACGUUAUCCAAAACUGAUCAAGCAAACCAGAGAGCAUGCAUCGCGGCUGGGCUUGUGGUAGAGGUGCCUGAAUAUCUCGACGAUCAGCUCUUCAGGGAGACAAGUAUUGAUCCAAUCAUGGCCUUGCAUGUUAGAAAGAACAAAGGGAAUUCUAAAAUGGGAAUGAAAUUAGUUGAAUUCGUACGGAGUGGAGAUGAAAUUAUGGUUUCCGAGAGAUUGGAGUGUGAUACAUGAAGAAAUGUUAUCAGGUGGAAAUUCAAAGGAAAUCCGUGGACGAAGUGGGUUACUGCACUGUGAAUUCAAAAUGGACCCAUUUUCAAAAUCUUUUAUCAAAAGCCGACAUAGAAGGACAAGCUUAGAAUUUGAGGGGAAAUAUUUUAUACAUCAUUCGCAUAACAGAGGACAUUAAUUUUAAGCACAAAGUUGCACAACAACUAAGAAAAAAGGAACAGGGACCAAGACACGAAGCUGAAGAGAAAGGCACAAAUCCUCAAGGUAAGGAAAUGACAAUGGGCGUCAGAUUAGGGAUAUACGAUUGCAACUGGCAACUGAAAGUCAUAAUGGAUUGUAAUUGAAAGUUAUAAUGGGGAGCUCUGAUAUUAUGGAUAUCAACUUAGGAUAACCCUAAAAGUUAAUUAUCCAGGUUGAAAAGUUCAAGUCUAUAUAUACUCCAUAUUGAAAUUACAUGCUUGCAA